RNAcentral lists this ribosomal RNA (458 nucleotides) under uncultured bacterium. Its description in RNAcentral is "partial 16S ribosomal RNA". It matches the Rfam family "Bacterial small subunit ribosomal RNA", at positions 338 to 795 of the family's 1533-position model. The record is from RNAcentral.
CCUACGGGGGGCAGCAGUGAGGAAUAUUGGUCAAUGGGCGAGAGCCUGAACCAGCCAAGUCGCGUGAGGGAGUACUGCCCUAUGGGUUGUAAACCUCUUUUGUCGGGGAGCAAAAGCCGGACGUGUCCGGCUGUGAGAGUACCCGAAUAAAAAGCAUCGGCUAACUCCGUGCCAGCAGCCGCGGUUAUACGGAGGAUGCGAGCGUUAUCCGGAUUUAUUGGGUUUAAAGGGUGCGCAGGCGGAUUUUUAAGUCAGCGGUAAAAUCGUGGGGCUCAACCCCAUCCAGCCGUUGAAACUGGGGAUCUAGAGUGUGCGAGAGGUAUGCGGAAUGCGUGGUGUAGCGGUGAAAUGCAUAGAUAUCACGCAGAACCCCGAUUGCGAAGGCAGCAUACCGGUGCACAACUGACGCUCAGGCACGAAAGCGUGGGUAUCGAACAGGAUUAGAUACCCUUGUAGUC